RNAcentral lists this long non-coding RNA (233 nucleotides) under Sorghum bicolor (sorghum). RNAcentral's name for it is "long non-coding RNA (SBIC_LNC003984)". Lineage: Eukaryota; Viridiplantae; Streptophyta; Magnoliopsida; Poales; Poaceae. The record is from RNAcentral.
ACAAAUUUCAGGUAAACUGUGUAAUUAAUUUUUAUUUUUAUCUUUAUUUAAUGCUCCAUGCAUGUGAACAAAGAUUCGAUGUGACAGGGAAUCUUGAAAAUUUUUGCGAACUAAACAAGGCCUCAUUUGUUUGUUCGUUCAUUGGUUGGGCAACGACUCACAAUCAGUCACGUGUCUAUCAGUCUAUCCAUGGAAAAUUGAAAAUGUGCCUCUACUACUAAAUUGGCCGGCGC